This 241-nucleotide signal recognition particle RNA is filed under the name human gut metagenome. Its description in RNAcentral is "Bacterial large signal recognition particle RNA". It matches the Rfam family "Bacterial large signal recognition particle RNA". From Rfam's summary of the family: The signal recognition particle (SRP) is a universally conserved ribonucleoprotein involved in the co-translational targeting of proteins to membranes. The record is from RNAcentral.
AGCCGGGGAGUUAGCGGUGCCCUGUACCUGCAAUCCGCUAUAGCAGGGGUGAUGUUCUGCCUAGGGUGACUCGCUGUGGAGCCGCCCCUGGUAAGCGGCGUUGACGCCUUGGUCUUACGCAAUGGGAAUCUCUGAACCGUGUCAGGGCAGGAAUGCAGCAGCACUAAGGAGAACCUCUCAUGUGCCGUGAGGGAGCCGGGGCCGAGCUGGCUGCCAGGGUAACGUCUAUGGCGACCACUCG